CAGGAAGCCUUUAGUGCCUUAUUGGUAAGAAAGCACAACCUCAGGUUCACAGAUCCCUUGUGAGGUUGAUGGGGCAGUACCAUGAGCCUUGUUUUGCAGACUUGGAAAUGGGAAACCCAAGAGAGUUUGAGAAGCCCUACCUGCCACAGGUCCUCUGUCUUCCCCACAAGACUGCAAGCAUCAAGAGGGCAGAUAUUGCCGUGGAAAUGUCAAUUCCCCAAGCCAAGAAGACCCUGUUUCCCAGAAGCUGCUUCUACAGACUCUAG
Molecule: long non-coding RNA, 266 nt
Filed under: Cervus hanglu yarkandensis (Yarkand deer)
Lineage: Eukaryota; Metazoa; Chordata; Mammalia; Artiodactyla; Cervidae
Description: lncRNA (ENSCHYG00000018505.1)
Source: RNAcentral